This is a long non-coding RNA of Hypomesus transpacificus, 1660 nucleotides long. RefSeq lists it as uncharacterized. Lineage: Eukaryota; Metazoa; Chordata; Actinopteri; Osmeriformes; Osmeridae. The record is from RefSeq and is a predicted model, not a curated record. The transcript is spliced from 4 exons.
UGCGUGAACCCGGUCGGGAUGUAGUAGGGGGUGCGUGGCCUAAAAAGUUUGGGAACCGCUGCUCUAACUGAAACAAAGUGGUUCUCUUUCAAACAAAGUGGUUCUCUCUCACUUCAUCGACUAGUGUCGUUCUAUGUAUCUCAUGACUGUUGCCAUCUCUCUCCCCCUCCUAUCUGUCUCUCUCUCUGUCUCUCUCUCACUCUGUCUCUCUCCCUCCCUACAGCAUAAUGUGUUUGACUAUGACAUAAACUACACUGGUUCUGGCGACUUGGGGGUGGCCCUAAAGGAUCCGUGUGACCUGGAUCAAGUGAUAACCCCUGACGUCCAGCGAGUGUUCCUCCCCGUUGAGUCUCACGAGAGUGGUGUGAUAGACUAGGAUCGCAUAUUGUGUUUGACUAUGACAUAAACUAUACUGGUUCUGGCGACUUGGGGGUGGCCCUAAAGGAUCCGUGUGACCUGGAUCAAGUGAUAACCCCUGACGUCCAGCGAGUGUUCCUCCCUGUUGAGUCUCACGAGAGUGGUGUGAUAGACUAGGAUCGGGUAUUAAACCAGGUCCGGUCAACGACAUGGUGAUCCUGUCAGCCCGACCAAAAGAAAGAAGAUUGAUGGAAGGCAUAAGGAUUAACCUGUAUAGAGGAGUAACAUCACCUCUGCCUGAACCCUCUUGUUUGAAUGUUGGCGUUAUAUACCAGGACCUCCCUGCUUAUCUGGCGCCCAUGAUCACAACUAUGGCCAUCUCCCGUGACGUGCCGCUGGUCGACUCUUUGUUUGGGCCUGUUCAAAAGGGCAGCGUACUGUCUUAUCAAAUGCCAACCAAGGCAGUGCCCAGAACCUGCCCACACUCAGAUGCCCCAUCUCCCCCACAGCUGCCACUCUGUGAUUACAGGCUUGGGCCCUCUACCUGUUCUUUCAUAUACACACUACAACAACACCAUCACAUGCGAUGGAAAACCUGUGUUUGGACUUGUUGAGAUAAAAUGCCCGAAUGUAUCUAGCUAUGUGGACUGCCCAUAUAUUAUGAGCAGAGGGGGAAAACCCAAACUCAGGAAAACACAUCCUUACUUUUAGCAAGUCCAAGGCCAAAUGUUAAUUUCUGGAUGUCAUUGGUGUGACUGUUGUGUACACACAAGAGGACAUGUUUAUACAAAGGAUUACCCGUGAUAAUGAAACAACAAACGUCAUUAAGAGAUGUCUCAUAGGUAAAUUCUAUUAUCAUGUUUCUGUGGAACUCAGAUGCUGGGUCAUCCACAUGGAGAUACCGAUUAAUGGAAUCAAAGCUUUUGAGUUAGUCACAGAGUUCAUCAUCUAAUUCAGUAUUGGUAAGGCCACUAACUAUAAGAGAGUUAGAUAUUUGCACACCUUCACCAUUACUACAUCCAUUUUCUAUUUUGCCGGACUUAAGACUAUUUUGGAUCUGUGAAGUCUGAUUUUUAGUAUUAAAUAUUACGUUUCUUCUAUAGCAACUGCUCCUGGCUGGCUCGCCAAAGAAUGUAGCACCUAUGAUGGUUGAACAGUGUGCUAAGGACCAGUUCUAGAUUUGAUGGGAGCAGAAGGGUUAGAAAUAAACAGACCAUAGAAUAGAUUUAAAUUUACAGGCGUGCUUUAUCUUGUAUUUAACCAAUGGAUAUGUCACGACGUGAGGUGGGGUUGGACCCAAAUG